RNAcentral lists this ribosomal RNA (490 nucleotides) under uncultured bacterium. Its description in RNAcentral is "bacterial SSU rRNA". It matches the Rfam family "Bacterial small subunit ribosomal RNA", at positions 215 to 697 of the family's 1533-position model. The record is from RNAcentral.
UCACUAAGAGAUGGUCCCGCGGUGCAUUAGCUAGUUGGUAAGGUAAUGGCUUACCAAGGCGAUGAUGCUUAGCCGAGCUGAGAGGCUGAUCGGCCACAUUGGGACUGAGACACGGCCCAGACUCCUACGGGAGGCAGCAGUAGGGAAUCUUCCACAAUGGGCGCAAGCCUGAUGGAGCAACGCCGCGUGAGUGAAGAAGGGUUUCGGCUCGUAAAACUCUGUUGUUAAAGAAGAACGUAUCUGAGAGUAACUGUUCGGAUAGUGACGGUAUUUAACCAGAAAGCCACGGCUAACUACGUGCCAGCAGCCGCGGUAAUACGUAGGUGGCAAGCGUUAUCCGGAUUUAUUGGGCGUAAAGGGAGUGCAGGCGGUUAUUUAAGUCUGAUGUGAAAGCCUUCGGCUUAACCGGAGAAGGGCAUCGGAAACUGGAUAACUUGAGUGCAGAAGAGGGUAGUGGAACUCCAUGUGUAGCGGUGGAAUGCGUAGAUAU